Molecule: long non-coding RNA, 3805 nt
Filed under: Capsella rubella
Lineage: Eukaryota; Viridiplantae; Streptophyta; Magnoliopsida; Brassicales; Brassicaceae
Description: long non-coding RNA (CRUB_LNC002500)
Source: RNAcentral
ACCAAUCAACACUCGCUGAUAUGUCUAUCCACAAAAUGAAGUAAUGAACACUUACGUACUAUUAAAAUGGUGUCUCCACUCUCCAAUUCAAUAAACAUCUCAUUCUCACUUCCUUUUGUUUCUCUGAGUUCUUGUUUAGAAGAAGCAAUGGCCACUUCAGCAAUCCAGCACUCUUCUUUCGCCGGCCAGACGGCUCUUAAGCCAUCCAACGAUCUCCUUCGCAAGGUCGGAGCCUCCAACGGUGGUGGCCGCAUCGUCAUGCGCCGUACCGUCAAGUCUACUCCUCAAAGCAUCUGGUUCCAUCUCUAACCUCUCUCUCUCUUUCAGUUUGGUCUGGAUCAGAUUAGAUUGGUUUAUCCGGACUAAACGACCACAUCAGUUUAUGUUUCCUCAGUUAAUCACCAAACCAUUUAAUUUAGUAUCUAACAAAAAUAAACUUUGUGACAGGUACGGACCAGACCGUCCCAAAUACCUAGGACCAUUCUCGGAAAACACACCAUCAUACCUAACCGGAGAAUACCCUGGAGACUACGGCUGGGACACCGCCGGUCUCUCAGCCGAUCCUGAAACAUUCGCAAAGAACCGUGAGCUCGAAGUUAUCCACAGUAGAUGGGCAAUGUUGGGAGCAUUAGGCUGCACCUUCCCUGAGAUCCUCUCCAAAAACGGAGUCAAAUUCGGUGAAGCCGUGUGGUUCAGGGCAGGAUCUCAGAUCUUCUCGGAAGGAGGGCUUGACUACCUUGGAAACCCUAACUUGAUCCACGCGCAAAGCAUAUUAGCUAUAUGGGCAUGUCAAGUUGUUUUAAUGGGAUUCAUCGAAGGUUACAGAAUCGGAGGUGGUCCUCUUGGUGAAGGUCUUGACCCACUUUACCCCGGUGGUGCUUUUGACCCUUUGAACUUAGCAGAGGAUCCAGAAGCAUUCUCGGAAUUGAAGGUAAAGGAGCUCAAGAACGGUCGUCUUGCAAUGUUCUCAAUGUUUGGAUUCUUCGUUCAAGCCAUUGUUACUGGUAAAGGUCCGAUCGAGAACUUGUUCGACCAUAUCGCAGACCCUGUGGCUAACAAUGCUUGGGCUUUCGCCACCAACUUCGUCCCCGGAAAAUAAAAAGUUUGACUCGGAUAAUUUAUGUAAAUUAUAUCUUUUAAGAAUCUCAUUAGUUGAUAUGUUGGUUCUAUAUUCUAUCUACCGGUCACAAAUUCUCGUUAGCUUGCAACUUAGCACAAACACACACAAAAAUACGUUUAAAAGACUAAAAGUUUUGAUUCAAAAAAAAAAGAAGACUAAAAGUCUAAAACAAUAUAUAUGGACGCAUUAGAUACUAAUACGAAUUAUUAUCAUGGAUACGAUUGGAUUGGUUUAAUUGUGCUUAAUUACGUUCGCAUACCUUCGGUUUCUUCCUAGCUAGUUAUAAAGAAAAGAGAGGAAUACUUUUGAGGCUAUUUCUACAAAGUGAAUCAGCUGUGAGAAGGUGAGAUUCGAAUAUUUAAAAAAAUUUAAAAAUAAUGGAAAUUAAAUAUAGAAUUUAUAAGUAGUUUUAUAGAAUUUUUAGACUAGCCCUAUGGUAAUACUAUAUACGUUUAAUGAUAGUUUAAAAUAAAUCUAACACAUACACAUACUCAAAAUGUGGACCUUUAUGCACAUACCAACCCUUGAAAUUAAAUAAACAUUGGUUCAUCACCAAGCAAAGGGAAUAGAAGGAGCUCUGACACUAUAUAGAAUGUGGUGAAUGAUUCUCUUUUUACAAUAUAUAUAUAUAUAUAGUGGUUACAAGAGAACACUUAUGUCUUAAUUAAUUACAGUUGAAUUCUGUAUUUAGAUAUGUUUUACAGAGAGUUCUUCGGUGCACCAUGCAUGCCAAUUCUAUGUUAGCCAUGUUUCUACCGCCGAUCAGAAUUGCUGCAAAAGCCUUUACCUAAUUUUAACACUAUUAGAUAUCCCACAUCGAUGAUGGGAUAUAUUCUUAGAUAAUAUAUAUACGAUGUGACAAUCUUUUUCCUUUGAGUUAGCUUAAAGGAGAAGUAUUAGAUAUCCCACAUCGAUAAUGGGAUAGAUUCUUGGAUAAUAAAUAUGUGAUGUGAUAAUCCCUCUUCUUUAAGUAAACUUUUGGGAUUUUAGUUAUGCCACAUUACUAAUAUGGUAUCAUAGCCCAACAAGCAAAUUCCCACAAAAAUGGUUUUUCCAUCUGUGUGGUCCCAUAUAAGUGGCAUGUCUUGUUGUAUUUCGAGAUGUUGGGUUUGUACAGUUUCUGUGUUGGACCGUUUAAACCCAAAUCUCGAGAGGGGCUAUUAGAUAUCUCUUAUCGAUGAUGGAAUAGAUUCUUGGGUAAUAUAUAUGUGAUGUGACAAUCAUUCUCCUUUGAGUUAGCUUUUGGAAUUAGUUAAGGUACAUUACUAAUAAACACCGGUCUUGGUUUAGUCUUUUCUUUGCAAGAUUUUGGAGUCACCAAUCAUGUAUACUUUGAAUUUUGAGAAUAUUUGUUAUGGGGGGGGAGGGGGGGUUGGUGUUACCCAUAUAUGAUUAUAUGUGUACUUUAAAUAUUAUCGAAUUUUUAUAUUGUAGUUACUAGUUAAUGUCGAGAUGGGCUAUAUUGGUUAAUAUUUACGUAAAAAAAACAAAAAAAUGAAAGUUAAUAUCAAGCAUUUAUAUAUGUUAUUUCUUUUUACUACAAAUUAAAUAGGCCUAUAUAUGUUUAUGAUAUCUACUUACUUAAAAAGCUAUUUAAGAAACUAAUUAAGGGUUAUGCAUUCUUAAAUUGGAGUUGAUUGGAUUUUAAAACUACAAAUUAAUCUUUGUUUUGGAGAAUAUAUGUAAGUGUAACUGUUGUUAUCACCGCAAUCGCAAGCAUAGCCAAUAGGGCAUGACCAAUAUGCAAGAUAGCAUGAGAACACUAUCCUCUUUGGGUUUUUCAUAUAUUUCGUUCACCCCACAAGAUCUUCCCUUGCCACAUGGCUACAACCAUAACCUCUACAUAUCUCCUGCACGUAAAAUUGAGUUUGUGGAAAAUCUAAAACCAACCAAUCAAAACUCGCUGACAUGUCUAUUUGCUAAUCUUCCCACAAAAAUGAACACUCUAUUUAUAAAAAACGAAGUCCCCAAUUCACAAACAUAACACCAACAACAUUAUCAUCUCACUUAUUACUACUUCUUUUGCUUUAGUGUUCUUGUUUAGAAGAAGCAAUGGCCACUUCAGCAAUCCAACACUCUUCUUUCGCUGGCCAAACGACUCUAAAGCCAUCCAACGAUCUCCUCCGCAAAGUUGGAGCUUCCAACGGUGGUGCUCGCAUUGUCAUGCGUCGUACCGUCAAGUCUACACCUCAGAGCAUCUGGUUUCAACCCUAAUCUUUGUUUCUUUUUGAGAUUUUUGGUUUUAACAGAAUAGUAAACAUUGAAAACUGAAUCUAGUAAAGAUUAAUAAUGGUUUUAGUUCAAGAUUCGUAUUUUCAUUAAACGGAAACAAUAAACUUUCGUUGAGUUAUGUCUACUCUUUCUUAAAUUUGGUUAUGUUUUUCGAUUGGUACGUUCAGUUUGGCUUUAUGGAUUAGAUUACAUUGGUUUUAAUCCGACUAAACGACUCAUAAAUUUUUCUUUCUUCAUUUUUGGUAUAGCUAAUCCACCGAAACAACUAUCUAACAACAAAAACUUUGUGACAGGUAUGGACCAGACCGUCCCAAAUACCUAGGACCAUUCUCGGAAAACACACCAUCAUACCUAACCGGAGAAUACCCUGGAGACUACGGCUGGGACACCGCCGGUCUCUCAGCCGAUCCUGAAACAUUCGCCAAGAACCGUGAGCUCGAAGUUAUCCACAGU